GCUAUACAUGCAAGUCGAACGCAUUGUGGUUGAAAUGAUAUGAAGAACUUGUUCAGAUUUGAUUUUCAACAUUGCAAUGAGUGGCGAACGGGUGAGUAACACGUGGGAAACCUACCUCUUAGCAGGGGAUAACAUUUGGAAACAAAUGCUAAUACCGUAUAAUAAUUAAAACCGCAUGGUUUUAGUUUAAAAGAUGGUCUUGCUAUCACUAAGAGAUGGUCCCGCGGUGUAUUAGUUAGUUGGUGAGGUAAUGGCUCACCAAGACAAUGAUACAUAGCCGAGUUGAGAGACUGACCGGCCACAAUGGGACUGAGACACGGCCCAUACUCCUACGGGAGGCAGCAGUAGGGAAUCUUCCACAAUGGACGAAAGUCUGAUGGAGCAACGCCGCGUGUGUGAUGAAGGGUUUCGGCUCGUAAAACACUGUUGUAAGAGAAGAAUGACAUUGAGAGUAACUGUUCAAUGUGUGACGGUAUCUUACCAGAAAGGAACGGCUGAAUACGUGCCAGCAGCCGCGGUAAUACGUAUGUUCCAAGCGUUAUCCGGAUUUAUUGGGCGUAAAGCGAGCGCAGACGGUUAUUUAAGUCUGAAGUGAAAGCCCUCGGCUCAACCGAGGAAUUGCUUUGGAAACUGGAUAACUUGAGUGCAGUAGAGGAAAGUGGAACUCCAUGUGUAGCGGUGAAAUGCGUAGAUAUAUGGAAGAACACCAGUGGCGAA
This 717-nucleotide ribosomal RNA is filed under the name uncultured bacterium. RNAcentral describes it as "bacterial SSU rRNA". It matches the Rfam family "Bacterial small subunit ribosomal RNA", at positions 48 to 719 of the family's 1533-position model. The record is from RNAcentral.